ACCCGGCUAGCUCAGUCAGUAGAGCAUGAGACUCUUAAUCUCAGGGUCAUGGGUUUGGGCCCCACGUUGGGCG
Non-coding RNA from Erinaceus europaeus (western European hedgehog), 73 nucleotides. The record is from Rfam. NCBI's taxonomy places the organism in Eukaryota, Metazoa, Chordata, Mammalia, Eulipotyphla, Erinaceidae.